GUUUUCUUUUCUGAAGCUAAACAUAUCUCGUCGCAUAUUUUGCAGGAUUCACCAUGUGAAGACAGAUUCACGUCUUUAAAUUGCAUCGAUAUCGAUGAACAUGGAAGCAACGCGACUGAAGCUCAUCAUCCGAGUCCAAAUUCAGUCCUGGAAACAGACAAUUUAUCAAUCGAUGAAUACGGUGACAAAUUUAGCACUGAUCUCCAUGGUUUGUAUUUGAAACUUCAGAUUCUGAAAUCAGAAUCGGAAGAAAACCAAUCUAAACCUGAAAUCGUUACAUCAAGUGACGAGGAUGCUGCCGAAACCGAAAGAUGCUUCGGACCAAAAGAAAGUCAAGAAUUUUCGUACCUUGUCAACGUGCUCGAUGAAAUUGAAAGUUUCGAAAGAUGGCAUUCCGUCGAACACAUUGUGAGCCCCUUGAUUUUUGAAACAUUAGAGAAGAAAUACGGGAAGCAAGAGUCGUGGAAUAAGGCGGAUAGGCGGUUG
RNAcentral lists this long non-coding RNA (486 nucleotides) under Lactuca sativa (garden lettuce). RNAcentral's name for it is "long non-coding RNA (LSAT_LNC007883)". Lineage: Eukaryota; Viridiplantae; Streptophyta; Magnoliopsida; Asterales; Asteraceae. The record is from RNAcentral.